GGAGUUAGCCGGUGCUUCUUCUGUGAGUGAUGUCCUUCCUGCCGGUUAUUGACCCGCAGGCCUUCUUCCUCACUGAAAGUGCUUUACAACCCGAAGGCCUUCUUCACACACGCGGCAUGGCUGGAUCAGGGUUGCCCCCAUUGUCCAAUAUUCCCCACUGCUGCCUCCCGUAGGAGUCUGGGCCGUGUCUCAGUCCCAGUGUGGCUGAUCAUCCUCUCAGACCAGCUACGGAUCGUCGCCUUGGUGAGCCGUUACCUCACCAACCAGCUAAUCCGACAUAGGCUCAUCCGAUAGCGCGAGGCCCGAAGGUCCCCCGCUUUCCCCCGUAGGGCGUAUGCGGUAUUAGCCUGGGUUUCCCCCAGGUUAUCCCCCACUACCGGGCAGAUUCCUAUGCAUUACUCACCCGUCCGCCGCUCGCCACCAGGGAGCAAGCUCCCCGUGCUGCCGCUCGACUUGCAUGUGUUAGGCCUGCCGCCAGCGUUCAAUCUGAACCAGAUCAAAUUCUGA
Molecule: ribosomal RNA, 507 nt
Filed under: uncultured bacterium
Lineage: Bacteria
Description: partial 16S ribosomal RNA
Source: RNAcentral